CAGGUCUGUUGGAAAUAAACAAUAGCCAUGGAUUCAUAUGGAUAAUAUGCUGAAGAAGGAGACUGACUGAAAUGGAAUGCUGAACUAUUAAUAAUCUUUAGAACGCCCAUUUUAUUUUUCUAGCGAGACAUGAAACGCAACAAGGAAAAAUGUUUCUCACCGUGGCAUGUUUUCCCCAAUCCAGCCAACAGUGAAGGAGGAAAUCAUCCCGCCAACAGCAAACAUAGAGACAGACAAGGACCAAAGCAUCAUGAGCGUUGGAUCUUUCAAUACUUCUUCAAUUAAAAAACUGCCAGUGGAAUUUUUAGUACUUUCAAUGUCCAGGACCUUUGCAUAGUGCGUCAUUAUGAUCUGUGUUAACAAAAAUGCAUUAGUCAUUUCAUUACUCCUAAAAACUAAGUUUAUUUGGACAGUGCAUGUUUCACAACCUGAAUUUGCCCAUCAGGAUGAGAAGUGAAACAAAGGAAAAAUAAAGAAAGUUGCCUUUUGAAAAA
Long non-coding RNA from Pantherophis guttatus, 494 nucleotides. RefSeq lists it as uncharacterized. The record is from RefSeq and is a predicted model, not a curated record. Lineage: Eukaryota; Metazoa; Chordata; Lepidosauria; Squamata; Colubridae.